AUUCCAGCUCCAAUAGCGUAUAUUAAUGUUGUUGCAGUUAAAAAGCUCGUAGUUGGAUUUCUGGUUGGACCGCGAUGCCGGACUCGCAAGGGUUCGUGAUUGUUGUGGUUUCCUUCCAUCCUCAGGUUUGCGCGUGCUGGCCUUAACUGGUCGGUGGGUGUGGUCCUGUCGUUUACUGUGAACAAAUUAGAGUGUUCAAAGCAAGGUGUACUUGAAUACAUUAGCAUGGAAUAAUAAGAUAGGACUUUGGUGGUUCUCUUUGAUAUUUUGUUGGUUUGCACGCCAAAGUAAUGAUUAAUAGGGACAGUCAGGGGCACUCGUAUUCCGCCGAGAGAGGUGAAAUUCUCAGACCAGCGGAAGACGAACCACUGCGAAAGCAUUUGCCAGGGAUGUUUUCAUCA
Molecule: ribosomal RNA, 401 nt
Filed under: Pedinellales sp.
Lineage: Eukaryota; Dictyochophyceae; Pedinellales
Description: partial small subunit ribosomal RNA
Rfam family: Eukaryotic small subunit ribosomal RNA
Source: RNAcentral